Non-coding RNA from Alligator sinensis (Chinese alligator), 167 nucleotides. The record is from Rfam. NCBI's taxonomy places the organism in Eukaryota, Metazoa, Chordata, Crocodylia, Alligatoridae.
AGAUCAGCCUGGCAGGGGAGACACCAUGAUCACCAUCUAGGUGGUUUUCCGAGGGUGAGGCCUAUCCCUUGCACUUGGGGCAAGCUAACUCCUGCAAGUUUCUCCAAAUGUGGGAAACUUGACUGCACAAUUUUUGGUAAUAGGGACUGCUUUCUUGCUUUCUCCUU